UAUUGUGUUAUUUUGCAUGUUAUGAGUCCUGUUAGUUUUAUUACUUCAUGGAUUACAGUUUUUGUUAAUUUCACUUAUACAUGUUUGGAUGGCAGCAUGGGAAAGCUGGCUGCACCAGGCAUCACUCUCACUCGAUUUUGGGUGCCUGGGCUCGGAUUUACAUCCAUGGCAGGUGCUCCCAUGCCAGGGCCGCAUCCGAACAUGUCUUAGUGGUAGCCGCAUCCCAGUAGUGAUGGCCAUGAGGGGUUUGGGGAUGAAGAUCAGAGGGGCAUGAGGGCAGUAAAGAUAAUGGAAAUUUGUUUUGGGGGGAGCUGAGCAUUCUUAAUCUGGUUUAUUUACUUGCUCCAAAUAUGAAUUUUAAAAUUGUCAAAACAAGUUGAGAUGGAACCAACUGGAGAAGUAAAUUUUAUUUUAAGAGUAGUUUGGUUUGCCUACUUUAGAUGGCAAAAAGGAAACUACUGGGAAAGCAACUGGCAACUGGCAAUACCAUUCAUCCAUUUUAUCCUAAACAACCAGUUUUGCUCCAGAAAGCAAGCGAAUGGAAUAUGAAGAAAAUAGUCUUCUGGAAAGACAAAGUUCUUUUGUUUACAUAGUUUCUCUCUUUCACUUGGUCUUCUGAAGCUAACUGCUGUGAACUGUCAUUUUCUUAAUUGGGCUCACCCUAGAAGGGUAGCAAUAUGGUCACAUACAUGGGCCUCAUGGGCCUAAACCUUAUACUCCAACACCCCCCCGCAGUCUGGACUACCGGCACAGCGGAGUUUAAGACUGGACAAGAAAGAAAACACAUAACACACAAUACCCCCCCGCAGCCACAACUAGCCACCGGUGACGUUGAGGCUGGAGCGAAACUCGGCGAAAGUCGAGGAAGGGAGGCCCUUGGUGAAGAUGUCCGCAAACUGUGAGGUGGUCGGGACGUGGAGGACCCGGACGUCGCCGAUGGCCACAUGGUCGCGGACGAAGUGCAAGUCGAUCUCCACAUGCUUGGUCCGCUGGUGCUGCACAGGGUUGGUGGAGAGAUAGACGGCGCUGACGUUGUCGCAGUAGACAAGUGAGCUCCUGGCGAGGGGGCGGUGAAGCUCAGCCAGUAGCUGGCAGAGCCAAGCAGCCUCGGCCACACCAUUGGCAACGGCGCGGUACUCCGCCUCGGCACUGGAGCGUGAGACCACCGGCUGUCGCUUGGACGACCACGAGACAAGGUUGCCGCCCAGGAAGACAGCGUAGCCGGAGGUGGACCUGCGGGUGUCGGGGCAGCCCGCCCAAUCAGCGUCGGUGUAGACAACCAGCUCGGCAGAGGAGGACCGGCUGAGGAGCAGCCCAUAGCCUAGAGUGCCACGGAGGUACCGGAGGAGCCGCUUCAUAGCAGCAAGGUGGGGCUCCCGCGGAGCAUGCAUGUAGAGGCAGAGCUGCUGCACGGCGUAGGUGAUGUCAGGCCGUGUGAAGGUGAGGUACUGGAGCGCGCCAGCAAGACUCCGGUAGGCGGUAGAGUCCUCUGGCCCAAGCAUCGGACCCUCUGCCUCUGACAGCUUGCCCUGGGUAUCGACCGGAGUAGAACAAGACUUGCAGUCAGUCAUCCCUGCUCGCUCGAGAAUGUCACAAGUGAACUGCCGCUGGUGGAGGAACAAGCCUGAAGGUCGGGGCUCAACAGUGACACCGAGGAAGUGAUGGAGCAGACCAAGAUCCUUCAUAGCAAAUUCCUUCUGGAGAGUGGUAAUGAUGCGCUGGAGCAGUGACUCGCUGCAGGCGGUGAGAACAAUGUCAUCCACAUAGAGGAGCAGGUAAGCAGUCUCACCCCCAUGGUGGUAUAUGAACAGUGAGGUGUCGGACUUGGCCUCCGUGAACCCAAGAGUCUGCAGGAAGGUAGAGAACCGAGAAUACCACGCCCGAGGUGCCUGCUUGAGACCGUAGAGAGACUUGUUGAGCCGGCAGACCAAGUCAGGGCGAGAAGAAUCCACGAAACCGGCCGGCUGACUGCAGUAGACUGUCUCGGUCAGAGUGCCAUGGAGGAAGGCAUUCUUGACAUCCAGCUGAUGCACAGGCCAGGAGCGCUCGAGAGCCACAGAUAGUACGGUGCGGACGGUAGCUGGCUUCACCACUGGACUGAAGGUCUCAUCAUAGUCAAUGCCGGGCCGCUGACUGAAACCCCGGAGGACCCAGCGAGCCUUGUAGCGCUCCAAGGAACCAUCAGCACGCCGCUUGUGCGUCCAGAUCCACUUGCCGGUGACAACGUUAGAGGCCGACGGACGGGGCACCAGAUCCCACGUCUGGUUAGCGAGGAGGGCCGCGUACUCCUCUUCCAUCGCACGGCGCCAGUGAGGAUCUGACAAGGCCUCGCGGACGGAAGAGGGUACCGGAGAGAUCCCCGUCUCGCAGGUAGCAGCGGUGAGGGCCCACGGCCGGGAUGCCUGCCUCGUCACCAUUGGGUGAGUGUGACGAGGAUCCCGGUGAAGUAGAGGCGGGUGGUACACCGGCGGCUCGGCGCGAGAGCGCCUCGGGGCCGGAGGCGGCAUGGACGGGUGCUCCGCCGGAGGUGGCGGGGUCGACGGCGGAGCCCGUACCGGCGAGGGCGGCGACGGAGCCAGCGACACCGGCUGCAGAGGCGGAGCCGGCUCUCGCCGCCGCUGGUAGACGAGGCCGAAGCGCCGGGGAGGUGAGGACGGGGCGCGCGGUCCCGCGAUCGGGGCGACUACUUCGGGCACAACGGGAGGCAGCGCAACCACUGGUAGCGGUGGAGGAAGCUCUGGGGCUGCCUCUGUCGUGCCAGGUACAGGAGGGUCCUGGCUCGAAGGACCACCAGGAGAGCGUGCCGGAGCAAGACCUGCAGGGUAUAGUGGAAACGUUGGUGGAACCACCGGGUCAGUGGGAAAAAAAGAAACCUCCGCAGGGUCAGCAGGAGGUGUGGAGGUGGGGGUGGUGGAGAAAGGGAAUGCCGACUCGUCAAACACGACGUGGCGAGAGAUGAGGACACGGCGAGAAGAGAGGUCCAAGCAACGGUACCCCUUAUGCUCAGGGGAGUAACCCAGGAAGAUACAGAGAGUAGAACGGGGGGCAAGCUUAUGAGGAGAAGUGGCAGCUGUGUUGGGGUAGCAAGCGCACCCAAACACACGAAGGUGAUCGUAGCGGGGAGGGGUACCGAAAAGAGCGUGGUGUGGAGUGGGCGCAGGGGAAGCCGUGGAGGGCAAGCGGUUAAGGAGAUAGGUGGCGGUGUGGAGGCUCUCAGCCCAGAAGCGAGCGGGAAGCGAGGCCUGUAACAGAAGGGUGCGCAUGACAUCGUUUGUGGUGCGAAUCAUGCGCUCAGCCUUGCCGUUCUGAGGGGAGGUGUAAGGGCAAGACAUGCGCAACUGGACACCACAGGAGAGGAAGAAGGAGCGAGCGGUGGUGUUAUCAAACUCACGCCCGUUGUCACACUGCACGGCCUUGAUGGUGAGGCCGAACUGGGUGGACACCCAUGCAAAGAAGUGGCGAAGAGUGGUGAAUGUAUCGGACUUGGCACGCAAGGGAAAAGUCCAAGAGUAAUGGGAGAAGUCAUCAACCACCACCAAGUAGUAUUUGUAGCCAGACAUACUAAGAACAGGAGAUGUCCACAGGUCGCAAUGGAUAAGAUCAAAGAUGUGAGCCGCAUGGGAGGAGGAGGUAGGGAAAGGAAGUCUAACAUGACGGCCCAACUGGCAUGCAUGACACAAAUGCUCAUCAGGAGUGCGGGGGCAAGGCACAGCGGAACUGCGACUGAGCUGGGACAAAGCAGUGCUGCCAGGAUGGCCAAGGCGACGGUGCCACGUAGUGGAGGUGGUAGUGAAGGCAGAAGCCGAAGGGGGUGAAUAAGAAGGCAAAGGAGGUGCAGCGGAAACCGGGAAACGAAGGGUGUAGAGAGGCCCAGUGCUGUCACAACGGAGAAGAGGACGCCGGGAAGCCAAUUCCCGCACGGUGAGGCCAGAGGGGUCGAACUCAACCGAACAAGAGUUGUCAGUCGUGAAGCGGCGAAUAGAGAGGAGGUUGUGAACCAUACCGGGAGCCACAAGAACAUCGGGGAUAUGAAAAGAGCCAUGGGAAUUGGCAGUGCCUACGGAGGAGACAGGAAUGCAGGUGCCAUUAGCGACCAUGAUGGAAGAAGGACAAGAAGGGUGGGGAGGACUGAUAGAAGAGAGGAGACUCGCAUCGGGCGUGAUAUGGAAGGUGGCGCCCGAGUCAGCGAUCCAGUCAGGACUGACUGGUCGCAGCCCUGCGGCAGGAGGAGCCGCGGGCGAAGGUUUGGCGGUGGAGAGGAAUGAGGAAGCCGGUGUGGAAGGAGACGCAGCUCCUCUAGGCACAGCGGCCAUGGCCCGCGCACGUAGAGCUGUUGUGUCCGACAACAGAGGCGCCGACCUGCCGUCGCCCCACAUGGUCGACCACGGGUGGCGGAAAGAUGCCCAGGCCGCCGGGUCCCAUCCGACAGGCACUGGCAAGGCACUCGGAGGUGGAGGCCACAGAGGCGCUGAGAGACUCCACCCGCCUCCACCGCGGUGGCGACGGUGGCUGCCACGGCCCCCCCAACCCCCGCUUGGCUCGGAGGGAGGAGGAGCAAGAAGAGACGAGGUCCUGUCCGCCGCCGCAGCGGCCCGGUCAGCGGCGAGGGUGGUGACCGCCGCGGCUGCGUCAGCACGCGGCAAGCCCAGUCCGGCAGCGUCAGCCCAGGGCAUGCCCAGUCCGGCAGCCACUGCAGCAGGCAUGGCGGCGACGGCCGCGUCCCCGGAGCCGGAGGUCACCCCGACAUGCAUGCGCACAUGGCCGUCCGCAGCAGCAGCGCGGGCAGCGGUGAGGGCAGUGGCGAGGGCGGAGUGUGGUGGAGGAAGGGCAGCACCCGCGCCCAGGGGCGGCGCGCCCGCAGCUGCGCUCAGGGCCGGCGCGCUCGCGCCCAGGGGGCCCGCGCCCAGGGAGGCCGCGCCCAGGGGGGCCGCGCGCAGGGGCGGCGCGCCCGCGCCCAGGGAGGCCGCGCGCCCGCGCCCAGGGAGGCCGCGCGCAGGGGCGGCGCGCCCGCGCCCAGGGGCGGCGCGCCCGCGCCCAGGGGGGCGGCGCGCAGGGGCGGCGCGCCCGCGCCUCGGGGGGCCGCGCCCAGGGGCGGCGCGCCCGCGCCCAGGGGGGCCGCGCCCAGGGGCGGCGCGCCCGCGCCGGCUGGUGGAGGAGGAGGGGCGGCCAUGGCCGCGGCUGCGGCGGCGCGCCGGCCGGCGGCGGCUGCUGCCUGGCGGCUGGGCUGGGAAGGGAGGGAGAAGAGAAACCCUAGCUCGAUACCAUGCUGUGAACUGUCAUUUUCUUAAUUGGGCUCACCCUAGAAGGGUAGCAAUAUGGUCACAUACAUGGGCCUCAUGGGCCUAAACCUUAUACUCCAACACCCCCCCGCAGUCUGGACUACCGGCACAGCGGAGUUCAAGACUGGACAAGAAAGAAAACACAUAACACACAAUACCCCCCCGCAGCCACAACUAGCCACCGGUGACGUUGAGGCUGGAGCGAAACUCGGCGAAAGUCGAGGAAGAGAAACCCUAGCUUUGAUACCAUGCUGUGAACUGUCAUUUUCUUAAUUGGGCUCACCCUAGAAGGGUAGCAAUAUGGUCACAUACAUGGGCCUCAUGGGCCUAAACCUUAUACUCCAACACUAACGUUUUCUUAUUAAAUCAUUUGUUGUCUACUGAUUUGAUUGCUUUAAUAGUUAAGAAACUACAGUUACAUAUUUAUAUGUAGUUCUCACCUUUGCUUUCCAAAUAAUACCCCUAUUAUUGUUGCUCUGCCAUCUUGUACAUAAAUUUCUUUCGUCUUAAUUGAGCUGCAGAGCUCCUGCCUUUGUUUCAAAAAAAAAAAAAAAAAAAAAAAACUAGCUCUGCCAUUUUAUAUAACUCAUACAGUUCUUCUGGACUCCCC
This 5889-nucleotide long non-coding RNA is filed under the name Sorghum bicolor (sorghum). Its description in RNAcentral is "long non-coding RNA (SBIC_LNC017907)". The record is from RNAcentral. Lineage: Eukaryota; Viridiplantae; Streptophyta; Magnoliopsida; Poales; Poaceae.